UACAGAGGGUGCGAGCGUUAAUCGGAAUUACUGGGCGUAAAGCGCACGUAGGUGGCGACGUAAGUCGGGUGUGAAGGCCCCGGGCUCAACCUGGGAAUUGCAUUCGAGACUGCAUUGCUGGAGUACGGAAGAGGAGGGCGGAAUUCCCGGUGUAGCGGUGAAAUGCGUAGAUAUCGGGAGGAACAUCAGUGGCGAAGGCGGCCCUCUGGUCCAGUACUGACACUCAAGUGCGAAAGCGUGGGGAGCAAACAGG
RNAcentral lists this ribosomal RNA (253 nucleotides) under uncultured bacterium. Its description in RNAcentral is "partial 16S ribosomal RNA". It matches the Rfam family "Bacterial small subunit ribosomal RNA", at positions 524 to 776 of the family's 1533-position model. The record is from RNAcentral.